RNAcentral lists this ribosomal RNA (1033 nucleotides) under Staphylococcus aureus. RNAcentral's name for it is "partial 23S ribosomal RNA". It matches the Rfam family "Bacterial large subunit ribosomal RNA", at positions 990 to 2024 of the family's 2925-position model. Lineage: Bacteria; Bacillati; Bacillota; Bacilli; Caryophanales; Staphylococcaceae. The record is from RNAcentral.
CAUGGGUGAUAAGGUCCGUGUUCGAAAGGGAAACAGCCCAGACCACCAGCUAAGGUCCCAAAAUAUAUGUUAAGUGGAAAAGGAUGUGGCGUUGCCCAGACAACUAGGAUGUUGGCUUAGAAGCAGCCAUCAUUUAAAGAGUGCGUAAUAGCUCACUAGUCGAGUGACACUGCGCCGAAAAUGUACCGGGGCUAAACAUAUUACCGAAGCUGUGGAUUGUCCUUUGGACAAUGGUAGGAGAGCGUUCUAAGGGCGUUGAAGCAUGAUCGUAAGGACAUGUGGAGCGCUUAGAAGUGAGAAUGCCGGUGUGAGUAGCGAAAGACGGGUGAGAAUCCCGUCCACCGAUUGACUAAGGUUUCCAGAGGAAGGCUCGUCCGCUCUGGGUUAGUCGGGUCCUAAGCUGAGGCCGACAGGCGUAGGCGAUGGAUAACAGGUUGAUAUUCCUGUACCACCUAUAAUCGUUUUAAUCGAUGGGGGGACGCAGUAGGAUAGGCGAAGCGUGCGAUUGGAUUGCACGUCUAAGCAGUAAGGCUGAGUAUUAGGCAAAUCCGGUACUCGUUAAGGCUGAGCUGUGAUGGGGAGAAGACAUUGUGUCUUCGAGUCGUUGAUUUCACACUGCCGAGAAAAGCCUCUAGAUAGAAAAUAGGUGCCCGUACCGCAAACCGACACAGGUAGUCAAGAUGAGAAUUCUAAGGUGAGCGAGCGAACUCUCGUUAAGGAACUCGGCAAAAUGACCCCGUAACUUCGGGAGAAGGGGUGCUCUUUAGGGUUAACGCCCAGAAGAGCCGCAGUGAAUAGGCCCAAGCGACUGUUUAUCAAAAACACAGGUCUCUGCUAAACCGUAAGGUGAUGUAUAGGGGCUGACGCCUGCCCGGUGCUGGAAGGUUAAGAGGAGUGGUUAGCUUCUGCGAAGCUACGAAUCGAAGCCCCAGUAAACGGCGGCCGUAACUAUAACGGUCCUAAGGUAGCGAAAUUCCUUGUCGGGUAAGUUCCGACCCGCACGAAAGGCGUAACGAUUUGGGCACUGUCUCAA